GGACUACACGGGUUUCUAAUCCUGUUUGCUCCCCACGCUUUCGCGUCUCAGCGUCAGUUAUCUUCCAGGUGGCCGCCUUCGCCACAGGUGUUCCUCCUGAUAUCUACGAAUUUCACCUCUACACCAGGAAUUCCGCCACCCCCUCCGAUACUCAAGCUUAGCAGUAUCGGACGCAGUUCCUAGGUUAAGCCUAGGGAUUUCACGUCCGACUUAAUAAGCAGCCUACACGCGCUUUACGCCCAGUAAUUCCGAACAACGCUUGCACCCUCUGUAUUACCGCGGCUGCUGGCAC
Molecule: ribosomal RNA, 292 nt
Filed under: uncultured bacterium
Lineage: Bacteria
Description: partial 16S ribosomal RNA
Source: RNAcentral